ACAAAUCGGUUAAAUGGCUUUCUUCCAACUGUUGCAGGCAUAGAGACAGUUGAAUCCACGCUCAAAUUAAGUGACUCAUGUUUAUCUAAAACCCUUUGAGAACUUGAAUCCUUGUUAGAGAAUGAGGACCCUUUGUUCCACUUGAAUGAUCCAACGCCUUGUGUCAAAGGGAAUGAAAGCCUCCUCUUUUCACUGCUUGGGGUCCCUGGAAACCUCUCCUUGGGAUUACUAUUAGCUCUAGCUUUGGCUUUGGCUGAAACUGUAGAAACCAUGUAGUUUGGCACUAAAAAGGGUGGGCAACUAGUCAGGCUAUCAUCAUCCUUCAAUGGUAAGUCGAAAGGGGAUUCAGCUCCACUAGUUCUCGCUCUUGAAUAUUUUGACAAGCCUGAGGUGUUUGCUUGUGGAGUUCUUUGUACAGGAGUUCGUGCUUGUCUCGUCGACACAAAUGCAACUGAUUUACUGGAUC
Molecule: unclassified non-coding RNA, 466 nt
Filed under: Hevea brasiliensis (rubber tree)
Lineage: Eukaryota; Viridiplantae; Streptophyta; Magnoliopsida; Malpighiales; Euphorbiaceae
Source: RNAcentral